Molecule: unclassified non-coding RNA, 433 nt
Filed under: soil metagenome
Description: partial contains 5.8S ribosomal RNA, internal transcribed spacer 2, and large subunit ribosomal RNA
Rfam family: 5.8S ribosomal RNA (bases 1-120)
Source: RNAcentral
GAUGAAGAACGUAGCGAAAUGCGAUACGUAAUGUGAAUUGCAGAAUUCAGUGAAUCAUCGAAUCUUUGAACGCAUAUUGCGCUCUCUGGUAUUCCGGAGAGCAUGCUUGUUUGAGUAUCAGUAAACACCUCAACUCCCCUUUCUUUUUUUGAAAUGGGAGCUGGACUUGAGUGAUCCCAACGCUUUUCUCACCGAAAAGUGGCGGGUUACUUGAAAUGCAGGUGCAGCUGGACUUUUCUCUGAGCUAAAAGCAUAUCUAUUUAGUCUGCCUAAAAAACAGAUUAUUACCUUUGCUGCAGCUGACAUAAAGGAGAUUAGUUCUUGUGCUGACUGAUGCAGGAUUCACAGAGACAGCUUCGGCUGGCCUUUGUAAACUCGAUCUCAAAUCAAGUAAGACUACCCGCUGAACUUAAGCAUAUCAAUAAGCGGAGGA